UCACAAGGGUGUACUACGGGCGUCUCGCGGGUCAGACAAGCGAAAGAUCCUGUUCCUGAAGAAUAGAAUGAAAAUUUAAGCUUUUAGAGCCAUUGCUUUCGUCGUGCCUGCACCUACCUAAAAAUGGGAAUAGCCGAUGCUAUCGAUCACCGUGGUUCGAUGGUGGUGACUCUGACCUGCAUGUAACGAAUUCGAAGGCUCGUGCGAGUGUGUCGCGAACAUACCGUGAAAAGAACGCACGCGACGAUAACGUCAAUUGCGCUACGACGACGAGGAAUUCACGAAGUGGACGACGGCAAUCUACGCGACGUCUAUCAAUCGCGAUUGAUCAACGAAAGUAGUCGGUCCAUGGUCAAAAGGAUGGUAUAACAAGGUCAACAAUCGCGUUAUCAUGCGAAACGUGAUGAUAUUUGACGUCACUUUUGAUAUGUGAUCCGUACUCACAAGUCAUGAGGUUUGAUACACAGUUACCAUGAGCGUAUCAAGAACGCAGAACGUACUACGUUUUUUUUUUCUUCUUCAAGUUUCAAACUUGAUCAAGAAGAAAUGACUUGAAGGACAUUUUUGUCUCGGAGAAAUAUGCAAAUUGAUCAAGUACUGAUUAAAACCCGUUUGUAUAAGAAAUAAAUUAAAUAUGUCAGUAGUCGUAAACUCCAUGGAAUAAGAAGUAAAAGUAUCUAUGUUUAACAUAU
Molecule: long non-coding RNA, 692 nt
Organism: Pogonomyrmex barbatus (red harvester ant)
Lineage: Eukaryota; Metazoa; Arthropoda; Insecta; Hymenoptera; Formicidae
Source: RefSeq, a predicted model, not a curated record